CUGGAAGCUCUGUUUCGAUAAGGCCGAGGGCGAGCUCGAGUGGCGCAGCAGAGGAGGCGAUUCUUCAUCCAUGGCGUUUUCGAGAUCUUCCACCGCUCGAUCUUGAUUUCGGUCCCCUUUCUCUUAGAUCCCCGGUGUCGCGAGGCAGAAACGAUCUAGUGAUUUCCCUUCUUGUGCCACUUUCACUAGAUAUUCUGAGAAGUUCUUCUCUGGUGUUGUUGAUGGAAUGUGUCCUAGAUGAAGAGAAAUUCCUCCUGAUUUGUUCAUGUGAGAGGUGAAGAGAAGAUGGUGAGCAGUUGGGACUGUUACUGACCUAUGGAAUCAUGUUGCUGAAUCCCCUCUGAUGUUUUUCCUUCU
Triticum aestivum (bread wheat) is the source of this 357-nucleotide long non-coding RNA. RefSeq lists it as uncharacterized. NCBI's taxonomy places the organism in Eukaryota, Viridiplantae, Streptophyta, Magnoliopsida, Poales, Poaceae. The transcript has 3 exons. The record is from RefSeq and is a predicted model, not a curated record.